This 301-nucleotide ribosomal RNA is filed under the name uncultured bacterium. RNAcentral describes it as "partial 16S ribosomal RNA". It matches the Rfam family "Bacterial small subunit ribosomal RNA", at positions 509 to 808 of the family's 1533-position model. The record is from RNAcentral.
CAGCCGCCACGGUAAUACGUAGGUCCCGAGCGUUGUCCGGAUUUAUUGGGCGUAAAGCGAGCGCAGGCGGUUAGAAAAGUCUGAAGUGAAAGGCAGUGGCUCAACCGUUGUAGGCUUUGGAAACUGUUUAACUUGAGUGCAGAAGAGGAGAGCGGAAUUCCAUGUGUAGCGGUGAAAUGCGUAGAUAUAUGGAGGAACACCAGUGGCGAAGGCGGCUCUCUGGUCUGUAACUGACGCUGAGGCUCGAAAGCGUGGGGAGCAAACAGGAUUAGAUACCCCUGUAGUCCCUGUCUCUUAUACA